CUUUGUGUUGUUGUUUUGCUUUUCUUUUCCAGUUUGGAAAGGAAAAGCCCUUGAAAUGAACGGGAUCGCAUUACCCGCUCAAUUCCACAUCUCACUCUUUCUCACCAAGCACCCCCAAUUCUGGGUCUCUCCAGUUUGCUCCUAGUUCAAGACCAUGGUCAAGUCAUCUGCAGCCUGGAGCACCCACGACUGUCUGCCAGCAGACCCUGCCACCCCUCUUCCCCAGGCAUCUGCCUGGCCAGAGUGCUGGGUGUGGCUGCGGGGCAAGCAGACGUAGGGAACAGGUGAACCCCCCAGCUGUCUGCGAGACUGGAGCAAAAUAUGUCCUGAGGAGCUUCAAGUGAUGACAGACCCGAGACUCAGAGCUAAUUAACAGGAAGUGGAGCAGAGGCGGCGACAGCUCCAAGCAAGGGUGCGAAGCUCGCGUCACUUGAGAGAUCAUUUCAACGGGGAUUCAGAAGGAGAAAGAAAAAUCUACUGUGCCUGGGGGCCUUUGAAACAUCUUGAAGAUGCAAUGAGAGGAAGGGGUCUUUUCUUCCCGAGUCGUAAUGGUGCUGCUGUUUGUGAGGGAGGCGCUAUGGCUUUAACACCAGAUGAGCUGUGACAGGAAUUCUAGUACGUGGCUUUAUCACCUUGCCAGAAAAACCUGUCACUGUUAUAAACUUGGCAGCCAUACGUAAUUUGUGGAAACCCAUCUGCGGGUCCCUGAGAGAAGACCCCAGAUCAGCACCACGGAGCAACUGAAGUCAGAGACUGCAACGAAAUGCAGAGGCAGCGGUGAGGGAACCGCACCCCGAAACUUGUCAAGGUGAAGGGACAGUCCCUCUCCAACAGGGCGUCCUGCGCCUGCACCCCAUACAGUGAAUCCAACGUGGGGAGAGUGCCCAGGACAUCUUCACUGUGACUCCGGAAAGGAGAAGAAAGAAAAACUCUGUGCACCCCAAAUUCAAAACCAUCCCUACUAUCUUUUGCCAGAAGAAAAUGAUGUGUGUUCAAGAAGAUGGGAGAAUCUGAGGCCUUAAGACUGCGAAAAGCUAUGACUGACCCAUUAGCGCUCAGGAAGUAGCUCAGACCUUCUGGGCUUGCUUUCUUGGGGGUUUUGGAGCUCUGGGUUCCUGUGAAGUGCCGUUUCAACCAUCAGCAGCACUUGCUAUCAUAGAAAUCUGAAAAUAACACAUUCACUCUGACACGCCAACUCACUACUUUUAAUUGUGACUCAUUAAAGAUGUAAAUAGAAGAGGAAUUAUGUUCACCUCUACUACAGUUCUUUUGGCUGUGGUGAAAUUACAAUGCUUCUGCUUCUGUGCAGCAGGGAAGACUUCUGCUUUGAAUAACAUCCCAAGUGCAGGGCUAGGAUUCUCUCAUUUUCCAACAAUAGGCAUUGCAUGCCACCGACUGUUGUUGGGCAGAAGCAGGUAGACAGAAGGAUCAAUUUUAAAAUGAACAGGAAGAAGAGUAAAUUUACAUCAUUCCAAAGAUGGUAUCUGCAAAAUUCCGAAGUCUUCCUGGCAGGUGUUACAGAAAUGAGAGGCUGCUGGAGGAAAUUCUGCAAAAAAAUUCAGACCAAACUACGCCCAGAGAGGAACAUGAAGGCUAUCAGAUGUAGUUUGAGCUUUUGUUUGACAAAUAUUAUUUUCUUUGUCUUGUUAUUUUAUUAACAAGGAAAAAUAAAAACAAAACGAAAAAACAAAAACAACCGGUCUUCUCUUUAUCUAUAUUCUAACAGAGUACAGUUUCUUAAAUUAGAAUGAGAAUUACACCUUAUCAGUAAUUGUCAAUACAAUAAAGUAUUGAUGACCAAUGAUUACACAUUUGAAAUGCUGUAUCAAAAACUAAGAACCAAGCACAAAAUGACAAAUAUUCUAUGACUCUGAGCAGUAUGUAAAAUAGACAAACUCAGAGAGAAAGGGCUGAGAGGGAGGAAUAAGGGGUUAAUAUCCAAUGGGUACUGAGCUUCUCUUGGGGAUGAUGAGAAAAUUC
Molecule: non-coding RNA, 1980 nt
Organism: Ictidomys tridecemlineatus (thirteen-lined ground squirrel)
Lineage: Eukaryota; Metazoa; Chordata; Mammalia; Rodentia; Sciuridae
Source: RefSeq, a predicted model, not a curated record